Long non-coding RNA from Gadus morhua (Atlantic cod), 290 nucleotides. RefSeq lists it as uncharacterized. The transcript has 3 exons. Lineage: Eukaryota; Metazoa; Chordata; Actinopteri; Gadiformes; Gadidae. The record is from RefSeq and is a predicted model, not a curated record.
GUGUAAAAGUGGGGAGGAGGUGCUGGUGUUUUAGGUCAGAGGAGGUGACGGAGGAGGUGACGGUGUUUUAGGUCAGAGGAGGUGACGGAGGAGGUGAAGGUGUUUUAGGUCAGAGGAGGUGACGGUGUUUUAGGUCAGAGGAGGUGACGGAGGAGGUGAAGGUGUUUUAGGUCAGAGGAGGUGACGGAGGAGGUGAAGGUGUUUUAGGUCAGAGGAGGUGACGGUGUUUUAGGUCAGAGGAGGUGAAGUAGGAGGUGAAGGUGUUUUAGGUCAGAGGAGGUGACGGUGUU